GGGAGAUGGGCUCCACGGUCUCUGAUGCCAGGAAGAAGAUGAUGAGGUACAACAUGUACCUGAAGAGGAGGCUCGCCAAAGCAGUGCAUGAGAAGAAAGUCUUGAGGGACCAGCAACUGAGGCAGCAAGAAUGCAAUGAGCAGGAGAUCUCACCAUCAGAGCUGAUGAGGAACAAAGCCCAAGAGAGAGCUCACCG
Molecule: non-coding RNA, 196 nt
Organism: Zootoca vivipara (common lizard)
Lineage: Eukaryota; Metazoa; Chordata; Lepidosauria; Squamata; Lacertidae
Source: RefSeq, a predicted model, not a curated record